UAGGGAAUCUUCGGCAAUGGACGAAAGUCUGACCGAGCAACGCCGCGUGAGUGAAGAAGGUUUUCGGAUCGUAAAACUCUGUUGUUAGAGAAGAACAAGGACGUUAGUAACUGAACGUCCCCUGACGGUAUCUAACCAGAAAGCCACGGCUAACUACGUGCCAGCAGCCGCGGUAAUACGUAGGUGGCAAGCGUUGUCCGGAUUUAUUGGGCGUAAAGCGAGCGCAGGCGGUUUCUUAAGUCUGAUGUGAAAGCCCCCGGCUCAACCGGGGAGGGUCAUUGGAAACUGGGAUACUUGAGUGCAGAGGAGGAGAGUGGAAUUCCAUGUGUAGCGGUGAAAUGCGUAGAUAUAUGGAGGAACACCAGUGGCGAAGGCGGCUCUCUGGUCUGUAACUGACGCUGAGGCUCGAAAGCGUGGGGAGCAAACAGG
RNAcentral lists this ribosomal RNA (429 nucleotides) under Gemmatimonadota bacterium. Its description in RNAcentral is "Gemmatimonadetes bacterium partial 16S ribosomal RNA". It matches the Rfam family "Bacterial small subunit ribosomal RNA", at positions 355 to 776 of the family's 1533-position model. The record is from RNAcentral. Lineage: Bacteria; Pseudomonadati; Gemmatimonadota.